GAGGUCACCCAUCCUAGUACUACUCUCGCCCAAGCACGCUUAACUCCGGAGUUAAGCGUGCUUGGGCGAGAGUAGUACUAGGAUGGGUGACCUCCUGGGAAGUCCUCGUGUUGCACCCC
RNAcentral lists this ribosomal RNA (119 nucleotides) under Brassica oleracea var. oleracea. The record is from RNAcentral. Lineage: Eukaryota; Viridiplantae; Streptophyta; Magnoliopsida; Brassicales; Brassicaceae.